AGCUGACACAGCUCUUUUAGAAUUUUUCUGGAUUUCUGAUCUUGAUCUGAAAACCCAA
Molecule: small nuclear RNA, 58 nt
Filed under: Mus musculus (house mouse)
Lineage: Eukaryota; Metazoa; Chordata; Mammalia; Rodentia; Muridae
Also listed under: 1 other name
Description: U7 small nuclear RNA
Rfam family: U7 small nuclear RNA
About the family: Animal histone pre-mRNAs are spliced by a different mechanism than nuclear pre-mRNAs and self-splicing introns. This processing involves the U7 snRNP, which contains only one RNA species: U7.
Source: Rfam by way of RNAcentral